RNAcentral lists this ribosomal RNA (433 nucleotides) under uncultured bacterium. Its description in RNAcentral is "partial 16S ribosomal RNA". It matches the Rfam family "Bacterial small subunit ribosomal RNA", at positions 29 to 507 of the family's 1533-position model. The record is from RNAcentral.
AACGAACGCUGGCGGCAUGCCUAACACAUGCAAGUCGAACGAGACCUUCGGGUCUAGUGGCGCACGGGUGCGUAACGCGUGGGAACCUGCCCUUAGGUUCGGAAUAACUCCCCGAAAGGGGUGCUAAUACCGGAUAAUGUCUUCGGACCAAAGAUUUAUCGCCUUUGGAUGGGCCCGCGUUGGAUUAGCUAGUUGGUAGGGUAAAAGCCUACCAAGGCGACGAUCCAUAGCUGGUCUGAGAGGAUGAUCAGCCACACUGGGACUGAGACACGGCCCAGACUCCUACGGGAGGCAGAAGUGGGGAAUAUUGGACAAUGGGCGAAAGCCUGAUCCAGCAAUGCCGCGUGAGUGAUGAAGGCCUUAGGGUUGUAAAGCUCUUUUACCCGGGAUGAUAAUGACAGUACCGGGAGAAUAAGCGCCGGCUAACUCCGUG